This 361-nucleotide ribosomal RNA is filed under the name uncultured bacterium. RNAcentral describes it as "bacterial SSU rRNA". It matches the Rfam family "Bacterial small subunit ribosomal RNA", at positions 28 to 399 of the family's 1533-position model. The record is from RNAcentral.
GAUGAACGCUGGCGGCGUGCCUAAUACAUGCAAGUCGAACGAACAUAGCAAUAUGUUAGUGGCGACCGGGUGCGUAACACGUAGCUGAUCUGCCCCUCAGCGGGGGAUAACUAUUCGAAAGAGUAGCUAAUACCGCAUAAUAUCGGGAUUUUUAGAAAGUCCCGCUUAAACUUACGGGGUUGAGGGAGGAGGCUGCGGCCCAUCAGGUAGUUGGUGAGGUAAAAGCUCACCAAGCCAAUGACGGGUAGGGGGCCUGAGAGGGUGGUCCCCCACACUGGGACUGACACACGGCCCAGACUCCUACGGGAGGCAGCAGUAAGGGAUAUUGCGCAAUGGGCGAAAGCCUGACGCAGCAACGCCG